Molecule: ribosomal RNA, 299 nt
Filed under: Weissella confusa
Lineage: Bacteria; Bacillati; Bacillota; Bacilli; Lactobacillales; Lactobacillaceae
Description: partial 23S ribosomal RNA
Rfam family: Bacterial large subunit ribosomal RNA
Source: RNAcentral
AUAAAUGCUUUCCAGCAGUCAGACUGCGAGUAAUAAAAUCCGUAGUCAAAAGGGAAAAAGCCCAGACCCACAGCUAAGGUCCCCAAUAUACGCUAAGUGGAAAACGAUGUGAGAUUGCGAAAACAACCAGGAUGUUGGCUUAGAGGCAGCCACUCGUUCAAAGAGUGCGUAAUAGCUCACUGGUCGAGUGAUCUUGCGCGGAAAAUUUAACGGGGCUAAGCAUGUAACCGAAGCUUAGGGUUUACCGAAAGGUAAGCGGUAGGGGAGCGUCGAAUGCGGGGUGAAGUCACACCGUAAGG